RNAcentral lists this ribosomal RNA (445 nucleotides) under uncultured bacterium. RNAcentral describes it as "partial 16S ribosomal RNA". It matches the Rfam family "Bacterial small subunit ribosomal RNA", at positions 354 to 796 of the family's 1533-position model. The record is from RNAcentral.
GUGAGGAAUAUUGGUCAAUGGGCGGGAGCCUGAACCAGCCAAGUCGCGUGAAGGAAGAAGGAUCUAUGGUUCGUAAACUUCUUUUGCAGGGGAAUAAAGUGCAGGACGUGUCCUGUUUUGUAUGUACCCUGAGAAUAAGGAUCGGCUAACUCCGUGCCAGCAGCCGCGGUAAUACGGAGGAUCCGAGCGUUAUCCGGAUUUAUUGGGUUUAAAUGGUGCGUAGGUGGUUUGAUAAGUCAGCGGUGAAAGUUUGCAGCUUAACUGUAAAAAUGCCGUUGAAACUGUCGGACUUGAGUGUAAAUGAGGUAGGCGGAAUGCGUGGUGUAGCGGUGAAAUGCAUAGAUAUCACGCAGAACUCCGAUUGCGAAGGCAGCUUACUAAGCUACAACUGACACUGAAGCACGAAAGCGUGGGGAUCAAACAGGAUUAGAUACCCUUGUAGUCC